UGGCAGUCAGAGGCGAUGAAGGACGUGCUAAUCUGCGAUAAGCGUCGGUAAGGUGAUAUGAACCGUUAUAACCGGCGAUUUCCGAAUGGGGAAACCCAGUGUGAUUCGUCACACUAUCAUUAACUGAAUCCAUAGGUUAAUGAGGCGAACCGGGGGAACUGAAACAUCUAAGUACCCCGAGGAAAAGAAAUCAACCGAGAUUCCCCCAGUAGCGGCGAGCGAACGGGGAGCAGCCCAGAGCCUGAAUCAGUGUGUGUGUUAGUGGAAGCGUCUGGAAAGGCGUGCGAUACAGGGUGACAGCCCCGUACACAAAAAUGCACAUACUGUGAGCUCGAUGAGUAGGGCGGGACACGUGGUAUCCUGUCUGAAUAUGGGGGGACCAUCCUCCAAGGCUAAAUACUCCUGACUGACCGAUAGUGAACCAGUACCGUGAGGGAAAGGCGAAAAGAACCCCGGCGAGGGGAGUGAAAAAGAACCUGAAACCGUGUACGUACAAGCAGUGGGAGCACGCUUAGGCGUGUGACUGCGUACCUUUUGUAUAAUGGGUCAGCGACUUAUAUUCUGUAGCAAGGUUAACCGAAUAGGGGAGCCGAAGGGAAACCGAGUCUUAACUGGGCGUUAAGUUGCAGGGUAUAGACCCGAAACCCGGUGAUCUAGCCAUGGGCAGGUUGAAGGUUGGGUAACACUAACUGGAGGACCGAACCGACUAAUGUUGAAAAAUUAGCGGAUGACUUGUGGCUGGGGGUGAAAGGCCAAUCAAACCGGGAGAUAGCUGGUUCUCCCCGAAAGCUAUUUAGGUAGCGCCUCGUGAAUUCAUCUCCGGGGGUAGAGCACUGUUUCGGCAAGGGGGUCAUCCCGACUUACCAACCCGAUGCAAACUGCGAAUACCGGAGAAUGUUAUCACGGGAGACACACGGCGGGUGCUAACGUCCGUCGUGAAGAGGGAAACAACCCAGACCGCCAGCUAAGGUCCCAAAGUCAUGGUUAAGUGGGAAACG
RNAcentral lists this ribosomal RNA (998 nucleotides) under Shigella flexneri. RNAcentral describes it as "partial 23S ribosomal RNA". It matches the Rfam family "Bacterial large subunit ribosomal RNA", at positions 34 to 1072 of the family's 2925-position model. The record is from RNAcentral. Lineage: Bacteria; Pseudomonadati; Pseudomonadota; Gammaproteobacteria; Enterobacterales; Enterobacteriaceae.